GCCACGGUGGUCUAGCGGUUAGAACGCUGGCCUUGUAAUCCUGGGGUCUCGGGUUCGAUUCCCGGCGGUGAGG
RNAcentral lists this transfer RNA (73 nucleotides) under Zootermopsis nevadensis. It matches the Rfam family "tRNA". Rfam says of the family: Transfer RNA (tRNA) molecules are approximately 80 nucleotides in length. Their secondary structure includes four short double-helical elements and three loops (D, anti-codon, and T loops). The record is from Rfam by way of RNAcentral. Lineage: Eukaryota; Metazoa; Arthropoda; Insecta; Blattodea; Termopsidae.